This 253-nucleotide ribosomal RNA is filed under the name uncultured bacterium. RNAcentral describes it as "partial 16S ribosomal RNA". It matches the Rfam family "Bacterial small subunit ribosomal RNA", at positions 524 to 776 of the family's 1533-position model. The record is from RNAcentral.
UACGGAGGGGACUAGCGUUGUUCGGAAUUACUGGGCGUAAAGCGCACGUAGGCGGAUUUGUAAGUCAGGGGUGAAAUCCCGGGGCUCAACCCCGGAACUGCAUUGGAUACUGCCUUGCUCGAGUACUGGAGAGGGAACUGGAAUUUACGGUGUAGCAGUGAAAUGCGUAGAGAUCGUAAGGAAGGCCAGUGGCGAAGGCGAGUUCCUGGACAGUUACUGACGCUGAGGCACGAAGGCCAGGGGAGCAAACGGG